AUGGCGCGCACGCUUGGCUUCAGCAUGUUUCUUCGUCCCAUGUUGAACUUGAGUUGGCGUGAUGGUGCCCCCGCUCGGCUUCAGCAUGUCAGCCAACGGUGCCAUCGGAUCCCUCUGUGUCAUACUCCUAUCGAUGAUGUACGUCUUCUUCAUCAUGAAAAAACGUCCACAUCUCCAAAAUUUACCAAGCUCCCUAAAAAUGGAGCUCUCUUGUGCAUCAUGGGUAGAUUGGAUGAGUGGGUUCCGUUUCGGGAGCUCCUAGGCAGCACUCGCAUGCCAGCUUUCCUAGGUCGGCCCAACUACACGAGCGAUCAGCUGUCGCUCGUCAAGACCAUACACCCGAUCGCUUCUUUCUGGUUCGACCAAAACAACCUUCUUCAUGAGGAAAAAGUGAUGGAUGGGACGCCCAGCUCGCAAGUAAGUACUACUCCAGUUUGCCCUAAAAAAGUUCCAAAGAAAGGAAUACUCGAGCGCCGCCAUGCACGACGACGAGACGACGACAAAGGCGAACAUACCGUACCUGCCGGACGAGCUAGUGUCGGAGAUCCUGCCCCGGCUCCCCGUGGAGUAGCUGCUGCGAUUCAGACCUCGUCUCUUCUCGUCGCGCCGUGGCUCGGGGAGAACGACAACGAUCGCCCUCUUGCUUCUUCAACCGGAGAGAUGACCGUCGCCGGUUUGUAUCAGUGGGAUGGGAAGCAGCAGGGCGUCGGCACGCUCCUACACGCCAUGUCCGACUACCACUCCAAGAAGGCGGCGUUGCACAGGAUGGCACAUUGCGAUGGACUGGUGCUGUUGCCUACUGACAAUACGGCGCACGUAGUUAACCCGGCCACUCGGCGCACCAUCACGCUUCCCCCGACCCUCAACCGCUUCCAAGGCCCUCAGGCAUUCGGUCUUGGCCACGACCCUCGCUCCAAUGCUUACAAAGUUGCUCGCUUCUAUGUUUCUCUGGACAUGCGCACCCAGACAGCUACGGCUAUACUGCUAAGAUGGGGAACCCUUCACUUUCGCAGCACGCUCUUCAACUGCCGCCUUCUCCGGUUAGGUUUCCUCUCCAAAAAGGUCAACAUUGUUGUCAUCCAAUCAGAAGUUAUUUUCUCAUGUUUCUGCAAUCCAAUCUCCGACAAUACAUAG
This 1134-nucleotide ribosomal RNA is filed under the name Triticum aestivum (bread wheat). RNAcentral describes it as "partial small subunit ribosomal RNA". Lineage: Eukaryota; Viridiplantae; Streptophyta; Magnoliopsida; Poales; Poaceae. The record is from RNAcentral.